Molecule: ribosomal RNA, 305 nt
Filed under: uncultured bacterium
Lineage: Bacteria
Description: bacterial SSU rRNA
Rfam family: Bacterial small subunit ribosomal RNA
Source: RNAcentral
GUCCUACGGGGGGCAGCAGUAGGGAAUUUUCGUCAAUGGGCGCAAGCCUGAACGAGCGAUGCCGCGUGAGUGAAGAAGGCCUUCGGGUCGUAAAGCUCUGUUGCGGGGGAAAAAAGGCAGCAUCAGGAAAUGGGUGCUGACUGAUGGUGCCCCGCCAGAAAGUCACGGCUAACUACGUGCCAGCAGCCGCGGUAAUACGUAGGUGGCGAGCGUUAUCCGGAAUGAUUGGGCGUAAAGGGUGCGCAGGCGGCAUGUCAAGUCUGAAGUGAAAGGUACGGGCUUCACCUGUACAGGCUUUGGAAACU